AAAUUGAAGAGUUUGAUCAUGGCUCAGAUUGAACGCUGGCGGCAGGCCUAACACAUGCAAGUCGAACGGUAACAGGAAGCAGCUUGCUGCUUCGCUGACGAGUGGCGGACGGGUGAGUAAUGUCUGGGAAACUGCCUGAUGGAGGGGGAUAACUACUGGAAACGGUGGCUAAUACCGCAUAACGUCGCAAGACCAAAGAGGGGGACCUUCGGGCCUCUUGCCAUCAGAUGUGCCCAGAUGGGAUUAGCUUGUUGGUGAGGUAACGGCUCACCAAGGCGACGAUCCCUAGCUGGUCUGAGAGGAUGACCAGCCACACUGGAACUGAGACACGGUCCAGACUCCUACGGGAGGCAGCAGUGGGGAAUAUUGCACAAUGGGCGCAAGCCUGAUGCAGCCAUGCCGCGUGUAUGAAGAAGGCCUUCGGGUUGUAAAGUACUUUCAGCGGGGAGGAAGGUGUUGUGGU
RNAcentral lists this ribosomal RNA (463 nucleotides) under Salmonella enterica. RNAcentral's name for it is "bacterial SSU rRNA". It matches the Rfam family "Bacterial small subunit ribosomal RNA", at positions 1 to 460 of the family's 1533-position model. The record is from RNAcentral. RNAcentral also lists the same sequence under 2 other names. Lineage: Bacteria; Pseudomonadati; Pseudomonadota; Gammaproteobacteria; Enterobacterales; Enterobacteriaceae.